CCAAAUUUCCAAAUACUCGUUACUAAGAUUAUCCUAUGUACAAAUAUGUAAUCUACUAUAUAAUAUAAUAAGUUUUCUUCGAGUUACGGCUACUCAAGGAACUACAGACUCUCGUGACCUAUAAAAUACUAUCAACUAGAUUUCGAAGAAGCUAGCUAGAUGUCCGACUGGAAUCAGCUGAUCGGAACAAUGUUUACGUUCAGUGAUUUUCGAUUAAGGAAAACAAAUAAACAAAACCCUUAUGACUCUUAUUCUGCAACUACUGAAAUAAGCUCCAGUCAAACAACCAGAGGCGGAUUCGUUGGAAUGGGAUAUCCUUUCAUUUUAAAAUUGUAUGUACAAGUGUGCUGAAUAAAUGAGAUUGAUUUCA
Molecule: long non-coding RNA, 370 nt
Organism: Leptinotarsa decemlineata (Colorado potato beetle)
Lineage: Eukaryota; Metazoa; Arthropoda; Insecta; Coleoptera; Chrysomelidae
Source: RefSeq, a predicted model, not a curated record